This 235-nucleotide ribosomal RNA is filed under the name uncultured bacterium. RNAcentral's name for it is "partial 16S ribosomal RNA". It matches the Rfam family "Bacterial small subunit ribosomal RNA", at positions 96 to 334 of the family's 1533-position model. The record is from RNAcentral.
UGGCGGGCGGGUGAGUAAUGUCUGGGAAACUGCCCGAUGGGGGGGGAUAACUACUGGAAACGGUAGCUAAUACCGCAUAACGUCGCAAGACCAAAGAGGGGGACCUUCGGGCCUCUUGCCAUCGGAUGUGCCCAGAUGGGAUUAGCUAGUAGGUGGGGUAACGGCUCACCUAGGCGACGAUCCCUAGCUGGUCUGAGAGGAUGACCAGCCACACUGGAACUGAGACACGGUCCAG